AAUCGUGGGUUCAUCUCAUGGCUGACUCGAACUGGAACCUUCUGACCUUCGCAGGGGGACUAUGUUGGAGUUCAGAGUAAAGGAAUAGGUUGGAGAAAUCGGGUGGCAGGAUGAUUAGGUGACAGUUAUACACUUCAGACCACAGUGAGUCUCUAACUGCAAGCUGUCGAAAUGGUCAACAUAUUUUCUUCUUUAUUUACAGGGAAGGAGAUUGGUGGGAAGCCCGCUCCUUGACAACUGGAGAGACAGGUUACAUUCCCAGCAAUUAUGUGGCUCCGGUUGACUCUAUCCAGGCAGAAGAGUGGUACUUUGGAAAACUUGGCCGAAAAGAUGCUGAGCGACAGCUAUUGUCCUUUGGAAACCCAAGAGGUACCUUUCUUAUCCGUGAGAGUGAAACCACCAAAGGUGCCUAUUCACUUUCCAUCCGUGAUUGGGAUGAUAUGAAAGGAGACCAUGUCAAACAUUAUAAAAUUCGCAAACUUGACAAUGGUGGAUACUACAUUACCACCCGGGCCCAGUUUGAAACACUUCAGCAGCUUGUACAACAUUACUCAGAGAGAGCUGCAGGUCUCUGCUGCCGCCUAGUAGUUCCCUGUCACAAAGGGAUGCCAAGGCUUACCGAUCUGUCUGUCAAAAC
Molecule: small RNA, 637 nt
Filed under: Pongo abelii (Sumatran orangutan)
Lineage: Eukaryota; Metazoa; Chordata; Mammalia; Primates; Hominidae
Description: retained intron
Source: RNAcentral